Molecule: RNA transcript, 1065 nt
Organism: Fragaria vesca subsp. vesca
Lineage: Eukaryota; Viridiplantae; Streptophyta; Magnoliopsida; Rosales; Rosaceae
Exons: 2
Source: RefSeq, a predicted model, not a curated record
AUGGUAAGAUCAUCAAGCUUUUCAGCUGGUGGGUCUCGGAAGAUGGUGAUAAUGGUAAGAAGUAGAGGAGGAGGACUGUGAAUAUGAUCAUGGAGUUGUUCACUUCCAGGAGCUUGAAGCAGUAUCGAAAGAAGCACACCCAUGUUGAAGUCAAGGCCAUGAAGAAAUGAGCACGGCAGAUUCUCAAGGGCUUAAUCUAUCUGCAUUCUCAUGACCCUACUAUUGUUCAUAGGGAUUUGAAGUAUGACAAUGUGUUUAUUAAUGGUUUCAAUGGAGAGGUGAAGAUUGGGGAUUUCGGGUUUACAUUGGUGAUGCAUGAGCAGAGUAGUAGUUCUGAGUAUGGAGUGAUUGGCACGCCAGAGUUUAUAGUGCUGGAGAUGUAUGAAUAGGAUUUAUAAUGAGCUGGUGGAUAUCUAUUCUUUUGGGCUGUGCUUGCUGGAAAUGGUGACUUGUGAGUACCCUUAUAAGGAGUGCCGAAGUCCUGCGCAGAUAUACAAGAAGGUUAUAUCUGGUGUGAUGCCGGCUGCACUGAGUAAUGUGAAGGAUCCUCAAGUGAAGCAGUUCAUUGAGAAAUGAAUUUAAUGGUAUAACCAAGAGGAUAUGCUAGGAGGGUUUCUUGUUUAAAUCAUUUCAAUCUUUUGAUUUGGGCAGCAUCUUUCUGUACAUUUUGUGAUUUUUCUCAGACAACAAUAUAAUCUUAUGUAGAUGGAUGAGCAAAGGCUGCAGCUUGUAGACCAUUGCUAUCAGUAACCUCCCCACUACAUCCAGAAGCAUUAGCUUCACUUGGAAGGAAUACAAAUGGCAGUGGGAAUGAAUAAUAAUAAGGUGGUAUCCGAAACUGAUUUUUCAGUGUUGGCAACUGCUGUACACCAAGAAAAAGAAGACAUGUCCGUGCUCAGUUCCAUUCUUGAAGAUAUUAAAGCUCUCAUGCACAACUAUGAGGAGUUCAAAGUACUCUUUUCUCCUCGAGAAGCAAAUAAAAUAGCACACAGCAUUAGCACAACAAGAGGUGUUCAUUCUGUAUUAGGCGGUGCGGACGUCAGGAUAUAUGCUUUAGAUGCUUGA